This 2570-nucleotide ribosomal RNA is filed under the name Escherichia coli. Its description in RNAcentral is "partial 23S ribosomal RNA". It matches the Rfam family "Bacterial large subunit ribosomal RNA", at positions 324 to 2876 of the family's 2925-position model. The record is from RNAcentral. Lineage: Bacteria; Pseudomonadati; Pseudomonadota; Gammaproteobacteria; Enterobacterales; Enterobacteriaceae.
GUGUGUUAGUGGAAGCGUCUGGAAAGGCGCGCGAUACAGGGUGACAGCCCCGUACACAAAAAUGCACAUACUGUGAGCUCGAUGAGUAGGGCGGGACACGUGGUAUCCUGUCUGAAUAUGGGGGGACCAUCCUCCAAGGCUAAAUACUCCUGACUGACCGAUAGUGAACCAGUACCGUGAGGGAAAGGCGAAAAGAACCCCGGCGAGGGGAGUGAAAAAGAACCUGAAACCGUGUACGUACAAGCAGUGGGAGCCUCUUUUAUGGGGUGACUGCGUACCUUUUGUAUAAUGGGUCAGCGACUUAUAUUCUGUAGCAAGGUUAACCGAAUAGGGGAGCCGAAGGGAAACCGAGUCUUAACUGGGCGUUAAGUUGCAGGGUAUAGACCCGAAACCCGGUGAUCUAGCCAUGGGCAGGUUGAAGGUUGGGUAACACUAACUGGAGGACCGAACCGACUAAUGUUGAAAAAUUAGCGGAUGACUUGUGGCUGGGGGUGAAAGGCCAAUCAAACCGGGAGAUAGCUGGUUCUCCCCGAAAGCUAUUUAGGUAGCGCCUCGUGAAUUCAUCUCCGGGGGUAGAGCACUGUUUCGGCAAGGGGGUCAUCCCGACUUACCAACCCGAUGCAAACUGCGAAUACCGGAGAAUGUUAUCACGGGAGACACACGGCGGGUGCUAACGUCCGUCGUGAAGAGGGAAACAACCCAGACCGCCAGCUAAGGUCCCAAAGUCAUGGUUAAGUGGGAAACGAUGUGGGAAGGCCCAGACAGCCAGGAUGUUGGCUUAGAAGCAGCCAUCAUUUAAAGAAAGCGUAAUAGCUCACUGGUCGAGUCGGCCUGCGCGGAAGAUGUAACGGGGCUAAACCAUGCACCGAAGCUGCGGCAGCGACACUAUGUGUUGUUGGGUAGGGGAGCGUUCUGUAAGCCUGUGAAGGUGUGCUGUGAGGCAUGCUGGAGGUAUCAGAAGUGCGAAUGCUGACAUAAGUAACGAUAAAGCGGGUGAAAAGCCCGCUCGCCGGAAGACCAAGGGUUCCUGUCCAACGUUAAUCGGGGCAGGGUGAGUCGACCCCUAAGGCGAGGCCGAAAGGCGUAGUCGAUGGGAAACAGGUUAAUAUUCCUGUACUUGGUGUUACUGCGAAGGGGGGACGGAGAAGGCUAUGUUGGCCGGGCGACGGUUGUCCCGGUUUAAGCGUGUAGGCUGGUUUUCCAGGCAAAUCCGGAAAAUCAAGGCUGAGGCGUGAUGACGAGGCACUACGGUGCUGAAGCAACAAAUGCCCUGCUUCCAGGAAAAGCCUCUAAGCAUCAGGUAACAUUAAAUCGUACCCCAAACCGACACAGGUGGUCAGGUAGAGAAUACCAAGGCGCUUGAGAGAACUCGGGUGAAGGAACUAGGCAAAAUGGUGCCGUAACUUCGGGAGAAGGCACGCUGAUAUGUAGGUGAAGUCCCUCGCGGAUGGAGCUGAAAUCAGUCGAAGAUACCAGCUGGCUGCAACUGUUUAUUAAAAACACAGCACUGUGCAAACACGAAAGUGGACGUAUACGGUGUGACGCCUGCCCGGUGCCGGAAGGUUAAUUGAUGGGGUUAGCGGUAACGCGAAGCUCUUGAUCGAAGCCCCGGUAAACGGCGGCCGUAACUAUAACGGUCCUAAGGUAGCGAAAUUCCUUGUCGGGUAAGUUCCGACCUGCACGAAUGGCGUAAUGAUGGCCAGGCUGUCUCCACCCGAGACUCAGUGAAAUUGAACUCGCUGUGAAGAUGCAGUGUACCCGCGGCAAGACGGAAAGACCCCGUGAACCUUUACUAUAGCUUGACACUGAACAUUGAGCCUUGAUGUGUAGGAUAGGUGGGAGGCUUUGAAGUGUGGACGCCAGUCUGCAUGGAGCCGACCUUGAAAUACCACCCUUUAAUGUUUGAUGUUCUAACGUUGACCCGUGAUCCGGGUUGCGGACAGUGUCUGGUGGGUAGUUUGACUGGGGCGGUCUCCUCCUAAAGAGUAACGGAGGAGCACGAAGGUUGGCUAAUCCUGGUCGGACAUCAGGAGGUUAGUGCAAUGGCAUAAGCCAGCUUGACUGCGAGCGUGACGGCGCGAGCAGGUGCGAAAGCAGGUCAUAGUGAUCCGGUGGUUCUGAAUGGAAGGGCCAUCGCUCAACGGAUAAAAGGUACUCCGGGGAUAACAGGCUGAUACCGCCCAAGAGUUCAUAUCGACGGCGGUGUUUGGCACCUCGAUGUCGGCUCAUCACAUCCUGGGGCUGAAGUAGGUCCCAAGGGUAUGGCUGUUCGCCAUUUAAAGUGGUACGCGAGCUGGGUUUAGAACGUCGUGAGACAGUUCGGUCCCUAUCUGCCGUGGGCGCUGGAGAACUGAGGGGGGCUGCUCCUAGUACGAGAGGACCGGAGUGGACGCAUCACUGGUGUUCGGGUUGUCAUGCCAAUGGCACUGCCCGGUAGCUAAAUGCGGAAGAGAUAAGUGCUGAAAGCAUCUAAGCACGAAACUUGCCCCGAGAUGAGUUCUCCCUGACUCCUUGAGAGUCCUGAAGGAACGUUGAAGACGACGACGUUGAUAGGCCGGGUGUGUAAGCGC